CAGUAGCCGCGGUAAUACGGAGGAUCCAAGCGUUAUCCGGAUUUAUUGGGUUUAAAGGGUGCGUAGGUGGCCUGUUAAGUCAGGGGUGAAAGACGGUAGCUCAACUAUCGCAGUGCCCUUGAUACUGAUGGGCUUGAAUGAACUAGAGGUAGGCGGAAUGUGACAAGUAGCGGUGAAAUGCAUAGAUAUGUCACAGAACACCAAUUGCGAAGGCAGCUUACUAUGGUUUUAUUGACACUGAGGCACGAAAGCGUGGGGAUCAAACAGGAUUAGAUACCCCCGUAGUCCCUGUCUCUUAUAC
RNAcentral lists this ribosomal RNA (301 nucleotides) under uncultured bacterium. Its description in RNAcentral is "partial 16S ribosomal RNA". It matches the Rfam family "Bacterial small subunit ribosomal RNA", at positions 509 to 807 of the family's 1533-position model. The record is from RNAcentral.